This 1008-nucleotide long non-coding RNA is filed under the name Xyrichtys novacula (pearly razorfish). Lineage: Eukaryota; Metazoa; Chordata; Actinopteri; Labriformes; Labridae. The record is from RNAcentral.
AUAUUAUUUAUAACUGUGUAUACCACAAUAGUUUAUCAAAUGUUUUAUAAGAAAAUCCUACACAAGACUAUAUAAAUGUUUUCAGAAAAAACACAAAUCAACAACAAUUUUUAAAUCUUAGCACUUCGUGCUUGAAAUAAUAUCUAACUCAAAUAUUCUAUAUGGAACUUUUUUUUCUUUCAAAAUCAGGGAAACAGAUGUGGUGGUGCUGAUGACACUUCUGGUGAAACUCUGGAUCCACAGACAGGAAAGGAGGACCUAGAACAACAAUCAGACUUUUGCAAAAUUAGGGAUUUUUCAAAAUAGUGGUUUUAUUAAAAGUACGGCUUUUCAAAAGUUUGGUUUCUCAAAGAAAGGUAGCUUGUUUCAAUAGGUUUCUCAAAAGGUAGCUUGUUUCACUGGUUGCUCAAAAAAAAGGUAGCUUGUUUCAAUAGGUUUCUCAGAGGUUUCUGGUACACUGGUUUCUCAGAGGUUUCUGGUACACUGGUUUCUCAGAGGUUUCUGGUACACUGGUUUCUCAGAGGUUUCUGGUACACUGGUUUCUCAGAGGUUUCUGGUACACUGGUUUCUGAAAGGUUUCUGGUACACUGGUUUCUCAGAGGUUUCUGGUACACUGGUUUCUGAAAGGUUUCUGGUACACUGGUUUCUCAGAGGUUUCUGGUACACUGGUUUCUGAAAGGCUUGUCACAAUGGUUUCUGAAAGGCUUGUCACAAUGGUUUCUGAAAAGCUGAUCAAUCAGAUAGAGCGGUAGAGGAGACUGGAAAGUCAGAUUAACCAAACUUAGUCAGAGGGAUAGAGAAAAGGGGGACACAAGAUAGAGUGGCUUUUCAAUUAGAUAGAGCGGUAGAGGAGACAGGAAAGUCAGAGCGUCCAAAAUGUAGCUAGAGGGAUAGAGAAAAGGGGGACACAAGAUAGAGUGGCUUUUCAAUAAGACAGAGAGGUAGAGGAGACAGGAAAGUCAGAGCGACCAAAAAGAUAGGGGAGAGUGGGGAGACUGGACACGAUAC